GCUCUUAUGGUGUAGUCGGUUAUCACGUGGGUCUCAUAGCAAUAUGACUAUCUCAAAGAGGUAGAUAUCCCAAGGUCAUGAGUUCGAUUCUCAUUGAGAGCA
This is a non-coding RNA of Saccharata proteae CBS 121410, 102 nucleotides long. The record is from the annotation of a GenBank genome assembly. Lineage: Eukaryota; Fungi; Ascomycota; Dothideomycetes; Botryosphaeriales; Saccharataceae.